AAACACUUUCCCGGUUUCUACUGACUCUGCUAAAAAGCUCUGAUUUAGGGUUUCUACCCCUUUUUUUUAUUUAUUUAUUUUUCUACCUUCUUUACCAUAAUCGAUCCACUCAACCAAAUGAUCUGAUUUUUGCAAUUUCUUCGAUCUCCAUAACCUUUUAGCUUACUUGAUUUCUAGUUAAAAUCUUACAUGGGUUCAACAUCCUCAGUUUGACCAGGUGACCUGGCAUGCUGCAUUGCUGUGAGCAAGUUUUGGGUGUGUAUAGUUUAGUGCUGUUGGGUUUUGUUUUGUAAAACUCAAUGGUGCCAGAAGGCUAGUGGAACUAUGGGCUCUUUUUGGACUGUUACUCAACUUAAGGGUUCACUGUGGCAACGAUUUUUAUUACUCAUUAUUUGGCUAUCCAUUUUCCGAGAUGUUGUGGCGAUGCAGACUCUGCUUGAACCUAACCACAUUUCUUCCACAUCUGAGCUAGCGACUCCACCUAUUUCUGGGCUUUUUAAUCCCAUAGAAAUAUCACCUGCUGUCUUCCCACAUUACCCCUAUCCUAGUGAAUCUUUGCCACCUAUGUACCCAACUUUUCCCACCACAUAUGAACCAAAUUUAACUGGGAAAUGCCCUGUAAAUUUCUCUGCCAUGUCAAAUCUCAUGGAUAAGACAGCAUCUGAUUGCUCUGUACCUUUAGCAGCUCUUGUGGGAAAUGUAAUAUGUUGUCCACAGCUUGGCAGUUUACUCCACAUCUUCCAGGGUUAUUACAGCAUCAACUCUGAUAAGUUGGUUUUGGAGAAUUCAGUAGCUAAUGAUUGUUUUUCAGAUAUCAUUAGUAUCUUAGCCAGCAGAGGGGCCAAUACCACAAUACCUGCACUUUGUUCUGUAAAAUCAUCAAAUCUUACUGGUGGGUCUUGUCCAGUAAAGGAUGUUAUUAGCUUUGAGAAAAUAGUUAACACAAGCAAGUUGCUGGAAGCCUGUAGUGCUGUUGAUCCUCUUAAAGAAUGUUGUAGACCAAUUUGCCAACCUGCAGUUAUGGAAGCUGUUCUUCACAUUUCUGGAACACAGUUAACAAUCAAUGACAAUAAAGAAUUAGUGAGCAAUUCUAAUCAUAUUGAUGUUCUUAACGAUUGCAAAGGUGUGGUAUAUGCAUAUCUCUCUAAGAAACUCUCAGCAGAUGCUGCAAAUGCUGCAUUCCGAAUAUUAUCAGCCUGCAAAGUUAACAAGGUUUGCCCAUUGAAUUUCACGCAGCCAUCAGAGGUAAUUAAAGCAUGUCGCAAUGUAGCUGCUCCCAGUCCUUCCUGCUGUAGUUCACUGAAUACUUAUAUUGCUGGAAUACAAAAGCAAAUGCUAAUUACAAACAAGCAAGCCAUAAUCUGCGCAACAGUUUUUGGGGCUAUUCUUCGAAAAGGCGGGGUCAUGACAAAUGUAUAUGAGCUUUGUGACAUUGACCUGAAAGAUUUUAGCAUCCAAGCAUAUGGACAACAAGGGUGUCUACUCCGAAGCUUGCCUGCAGAUGUUGUAUUUGACAAUUCAACGGGGUUCAGCUUUACAUGUGACCUGAUUGACAACAUUGCAGCCCCAUGGCCAACAUCAUCCUCCAUGUCAUCCUUGUCUCUUUGCGCUCCAGAGAUGUCCUUGCCUGCCUUGCCGACAUCAGAGACUUUAAAAAAUCCUGGUGUGCCCUGUUGCCCCCUACUUUUUGUAGCUUCUUGUUACUGUCAGCUUUAGUUGCAUGAUUUUUAUUCGCAUUUACGAAGUAUAAUUGCAUCUUAAUAAACUAAUGAAUCAUCCAAUCAAAAUAUGGCACUUCCCUGAUUCAAUUGAAACCUAAAUUUUUAUGAUAUAUUUCAAUAAUUUUGUGGAAGUCCAAAUUUCUUAGCCAAGAGCUUAUACUUGUCUAAAAGCUGCUGCUUCUGUGUUUUUUUUCCCCCCCUUGACUCCUAACAUUUUUAUGUGACCUGAUAAUGCAGGCAACCGUGGUGGUGGGUUGGAGUUUGUGGUUCCCAUUUUUUCAUUUUUUAUUUUCAGUACAUUGUUGUACUGAAAAAAUUAAUUGAGGGAUGAACCAGUUUGGAAUAGGUGCUUCUGGAAAUAGACCUUGUCUGGGAAUUUUACAUGUAUAUUUUGGGUAGCUUCCAUGUAUAGCAGUUUCUUCUUUCCGUUUUUCCUCAUCUUUUUUUGAGCUAUUUUGUCCCUGCCUUUCUGUCUCUCCCCCCUUUUCUUCUCUCUAUAAUCUUGGCUGGUUUUGUUUUGAAACUUUGGAAAGACUUCUAUUUCUGAGGAAUUUUGUGUGGAUGUUUGGUUUGAUUUAUUCAAGUUUGAGUUUUUUAGGUUCUUUUUGAGGGGAGGAGAGGUUGGUUAUAAUCAGUUGCUUGGGGAACAGACAUAAUCAGGUGGACCCGCCCCAAUCAUAGCACCCAUUGGUGGUGUGGGUACUCCUAACAAUAGUUUGUUAAAAAGGCAUAUCUGACUUGACCAUAAGAACCAAGUGAUGAGUGCUUGAGUGGAGCAUUGGCCUUAGAAGAGAAGUUUGAUGAGGACAUCCUUCUUAUUCCAAUUAAUGACAAUUUUUUUCUAUUUAAAGAGAGAAAGAGAGGAUUUCAUCAUUAAGGGGUAAUGGAGCAAGAAAGUAUAAUGAUUCAGAUGUUCAGUUGUAGAGUUCCAAGUAAUAUUGUUCAUCAUUGUGUCAUUUUCACUCAUCAUAUCUAUUUUAG
This 2702-nucleotide unclassified non-coding RNA is filed under the name Hevea brasiliensis (rubber tree). Lineage: Eukaryota; Viridiplantae; Streptophyta; Magnoliopsida; Malpighiales; Euphorbiaceae. The record is from RNAcentral.